GCUAGGGAUGUACAGUUUUCUCUACAGUUUGGUAUGAAUUCCAGCCAAAUCAAAUCUAUAGUCUACACAAAUGUGGCAUUUAACAGGAUAGCCCAUAGUCGGAAUAUAUCAAACACACGCCCACAGAUGUGCAGCUAAAAGAAUGGAAAAGUGGAACCCAGAGAGCAGCAGCAAACCCCACGAGAUGGUCCUUCGUCCUCGUAAUAUGCUUGAUGGUUGCGCCCAAGUGACAUUAAAUGGCUGCCGCCACAUCUUCGGUUUGUUGCUGGGGCACCCCUAGCUCUCCUUUUGUAUCUCUUUCUUUGCGUGAGUGUGUGUGUGUGCUGGGGGCAUUCAUAAAAGUGGGACUCAAGUGGCAGCAACAGCAGCUUUAAGCUGCCAAUGCACUUUAAAGCUUUGCUUUUCCCAUCCGGAUUGGUUUGUCCAUAAAAUAUUUAUAUUUGCAGCCAUUUACGCAGUUUUUCCAUCCAUUGGCCAUCAAAAUAAAUUGAAGUAAUGCCCUGCCCGGUAGUUCGAAUGCGAAAACUAAAUGGGAUUAAAGAUUCCGAUUGCCGAUUGCCCUAGCUUGGCUGUCUGCUUUAUUUGUUUAUUUGAUUUGUCUUUAUGUGAGGUGUGUGUGUGGAGGGACAUUGACAUCAAGAAGUUCAAGUUUUCCUCUCUUCGUCGGCGUAAUGAAAUCUGGGCUCUUACUUGUGCUUGAUUUGGUUGCCAGGAAAUAAAACGAAUAAAAAGUAAA
RNAcentral lists this long non-coding RNA (736 nucleotides) under Drosophila guanche. Lineage: Eukaryota; Metazoa; Arthropoda; Insecta; Diptera; Drosophilidae. The record is from RNAcentral.